UCCCAAUCUUCCUUCCAAGCUUAAACUUCCCACCCACAACAUGAUCCAUGAUGUCAAUAAAUUUCACCACCAACAACAACAACAAUAAUUUCAACACCCACAAUACUUAAUUUUCUCAAAUUUUCACCUACUUAGAUUAACCAAGAAACCCCUCAACACAUCCAAGAUACAAUUAACCCCAUCAAAAUCACUCAUACAUCAAUCAAUUUACCACCCCUCAAACUCAAAAUCCAUUAGAGGCCUAAAAAUCAUCAAAUGUACUCAUACAUCUAUCCAAAUACCUAAAUAUCAAGAAUCCAUUAAAGUUCACAACUUUAUUGAAAAAAAAGGCCUAAAAAUCAUCAAAACUACUCAUACAUCUAUCCAAUUACCACACCUAAAAAUCAAGAAUCCAUUAAAGUUCACAACUUUAUACUAAAAAUCCUAAAAAUUAUCAAAUCAAGAUUCAAGAAAAUUACUGUCCAGCUAUAUCCUUG
Molecule: long non-coding RNA, 476 nt
Filed under: Capsicum annuum
Lineage: Eukaryota; Viridiplantae; Streptophyta; Magnoliopsida; Solanales; Solanaceae
Description: long non-coding RNA (CANN_LNC010662)
Source: RNAcentral